CCUACGAGAGGCAGCAGUGGGGAAUAUUGGACAAUGGACGAAACCCUGAUCCAGCGACGCCGCGUGAGUGAAGACGUAUUUCGGUACGUAAAACUCUAUCUGCAGGAAGGAAAAUGACGGUACCUGACUAAGCAGCCCCGGCUAACUCCGUGCAAGACGCCGCGGUCAUACGUAGGGGGCCAGCGUAAUCCGGAUUUACUGGGUGUAAAGGGAGAGUAGACGGCGUGGAAAUUCUGUAGUGAAAUGGCGGGGCACAAACCCGGAAAUGCUCUGGACACUGUGAAGCUGGAGUGCAGGAGAGGUAAGCGGAAUUCCUGGUGUAGCGGUGAAAGGCGUAGAGAUCAGGAAGAACACCGGCGGCGAAGGCGGCUUACUGGACUGUAACUGACGUUGAGGCUCGAAGGCGUGGGGAGCAAACAGGAUUAGAUACCCGGGUAGUC
Molecule: ribosomal RNA, 440 nt
Filed under: uncultured bacterium
Lineage: Bacteria
Description: partial 16S ribosomal RNA
Rfam family: Bacterial small subunit ribosomal RNA
Source: RNAcentral